This 251-nucleotide ribosomal RNA is filed under the name uncultured prokaryote. Its description in RNAcentral is "partial 16S ribosomal RNA". It matches the Rfam family "Bacterial small subunit ribosomal RNA", at positions 525 to 775 of the family's 1533-position model. The record is from RNAcentral.
ACGUAGGGGGCAAGCGUUGAUCGGAAUCACUGGGCGUAAAGCGCGUGCAGGCGGUUCGGUAAGUUGGGCGUGAAAUCUCCCGGCUCAACUGGGAGAGGUCGUUCAAUACUACCGGACUUGAGAGCGAUAGAGGAAAAUGGAAUUCCCGGUGUAGUGGUAAAAUGCGUAGUUAUCGGGAGGAACACCAGUGGCGAAAGCGACCUGCUCGGCCUUGCCUGACGCUCAGACGCGAAAGCAUGGGGAGCGAACGG